Long non-coding RNA from Zonotrichia leucophrys gambelii, 502 nucleotides. RefSeq lists it as uncharacterized. The transcript is spliced from 3 exons. The record is from RefSeq and is a predicted model, not a curated record. NCBI's taxonomy places the organism in Eukaryota, Metazoa, Chordata, Aves, Passeriformes, Passerellidae.
AGAGUCACAAGUUUUCAUUAUUGUCUUUUUAGCAUUCACAGUGAAGAACAUGGAAAUGAGGUUGCUGAAGAUUCAAACAAGCCUCAGAAAUGCAAAAUAUCUCACCAAGGAGAGGAGAAGAAACUUAUUUUUAAAUGUGUACACAAACUCCUACCUAAUCACACAUAGCUGUCACUCCAGAAAGAAGCAGGAGGCUGAGGAUGGGACUCUGGGUGACAUCAGCAUGAUGUGGUCAGACCUUUGUGGUGCCCAGGGCCAGGACCAGGGUGACAGGAACAGAGCAGCCCUAUUGCUGCUGUUUGCACAUGGAGCCAUUCUGCCCCUUGGCUUCCUGGUUUUCUCUUACUCCUGGAGAAGGCAGAACCUACUGCUUGAAUUUCAGCAGUUCCCCAAGCUUGCUCUGGGCCUUCUGAGCUCUUACUCUGAGAAUAUUUACUGUCUAGGGAAAGAAGAAAUUUUAUAGAGGUACAAAACUCUAGAGAACCAAGUGCAAAGAAGCAAA